CAAAUCGUGGACGCAUGUGAUUAUUUGUGAUUAUCUUAUUGGCGUUCAAUGGCUUAUUCGACUUCCUGCUCUUCAUGCUGGCGUUCAAUGGCUCAUUCGACUUCCUGCCUCGUGCUAUUACUUUAAUUUAUUAACUUUGCCAGAUAGUAUUAACAGUUAUUACAAAGUAAUAAUUUAACGAAUUAACUAGACUAUAUGGCAGGGUAUUCGCAACAGCGAUUAGCCAAUUACUGCGAACCCAAGGACAAUACGUUAACAUCAAAUAGCAAAAAAACUAACAACUAACUUCAUGCAUUUAUACAACUAUAUAUUUAGCUAGCUACGGCAACUGAUCAUGCUAUGAUAAUAACAUGCACUAGCUGAAAAGAAAUUGAACAAAUCAAUGCAUGCUACCGACUAUAUAAGCAUAGCACGAGCAGUUGCCAUGUAGCUAGCUGUGCUGAAAUUUUCAAUAACAGCAAGAUAUUGGAGACGCUAAACUACGAACACAGUUGCAUUUCAGGCAUAAAGAUCUAAAUGUUCGCGGAUUUUCAGGAUUAUAAGUAAUGUCAACAGAGGUAAAAUAAUAAUUGAGUAAACAUGAUUUAAAUACAGCGAGACUGUCCG
Non-coding RNA from Paramuricea clavata, 606 nucleotides. The record is from the annotation of a GenBank genome assembly. NCBI's taxonomy places the organism in Eukaryota, Metazoa, Cnidaria, Anthozoa, Malacalcyonacea, Plexauridae.